Molecule: ribosomal RNA, 493 nt
Filed under: uncultured bacterium
Lineage: Bacteria
Description: partial 16S ribosomal RNA
Rfam family: Bacterial small subunit ribosomal RNA
Source: RNAcentral
AUUGAACGCUGGCGGCAUGCCUUACACAUGCAAGUCGAACGGUAACAGGUUAAGCUGACGAGUGGCGAACGGGUGAGUGAUAUAUCGGAACGUGCCCAGUCGUGGGGGAUAACGUAGCGAAAGCUACGCUAAUACCGCAUACGAUCUACGGAUGAAAGCGGGGGAUCGCAAGACCUCGCGCGAUUGGAGCGGCCGAUAUCAGAUCAGGUUGUUGGUGAGGUAAAAGCUCACCAAGCCUGCGAUCUGUAGCUGGUCUGAGAGGACGACCAGCCACACUGGCACUGAGACACGGUCCAGACUCCUACGGGAGGCAGCAGUGGGGAAUUUUGGACAAUGGACGCAAGUCUGAUCCAGCAAUGCCGCGUGCAGGACGAAGGCCUUCGGGUUGUAAACUGCUUUUGUACGGAACGAAACGGUGAGCUCUAAUACAGUUUGCUAAUGACGGUACCGUAAGAAUAAGCACCGGCUAACUACGUGCCAGCCGCCGCUGUAA